CUACAGAUCAAAGGGCCUGGAUUCUUCAACAAAUAGCAUGGGAAUGACAAGAGAGCCCAUAUAUAACCACCGAACUGAAAGUAGGAGGGAGAGAUCUCGUCAAGAUGGCGGCAUAAGCACACUCUGAACUCAGCUCCUCCCAUGAACACAACCAGGUUACAACUAUUUUUGGAAAAAUUACCCUGGAUAGAAAACUGAAAACUGGAUAAAAAGAACUCCCACAAUAAGGGACAGUCCUGACUAAGGCAGAAGAGGCAGAAAUUCAUGCUGGAGAGGGAAAAAGCCACCUUUGGGAGCAGCGGAGCUUCUCAGCUGGACAGGCAGGAGCCACCCUAAGGUGUCCCAGAAGGAGGAGAGAGAGACAAAGGGGCAGAAAAUUUAUUUGAAAAAAUAAUAGAUGAAAAUUUUCCUAACCUAAGGAAGGAAAAUGACAUCCAAGUAUAGGAUGCACAGAGAGCUCCAAACAAGUUCCUUAGGCAGAAGAAAAAAAUGAUUCAAGAUGAAAGCAUGGAGAUUAAGGAAGAAAUGAAGCCUAGAAAGAAGAUUGACUUCAUUCAGCCCUGGACACUGCAUUUCACCUCCUUCGGCAUUGCUGUUCUUGUAAUUGCUAUCUUUCCACUUCCAAGAAGACGCUGUCUUGAAACUGAAGCUCUUCUUGGAUUCCCGGCUGCUUUGGUAGCUGAUUAAAAGGGGACACAAUGGUAAAACCAGGAACAUUCAUAUUACGUUUGAAGUCUAAGGAAUCAAAAUUGUUUUCAAAGUUGUAUUCCACUAUUUUUCAAAACAGAUCAUUGGAAACAAAAAUUGACAUAUGACAUAAAUACUGUACCUGAGGCUAAUCUCACACAAC
RNAcentral lists this long non-coding RNA (850 nucleotides) under Equus asinus (donkey). RNAcentral's name for it is "lncRNA (ENSEASG00005038102.1)". The record is from RNAcentral. Lineage: Eukaryota; Metazoa; Chordata; Mammalia; Perissodactyla; Equidae.